This is an RNA transcript of Nymphaea colorata (pocket water lily), 2110 nucleotides long. RefSeq lists it as uncharacterized. The transcript is spliced from 4 exons. NCBI's taxonomy places the organism in Eukaryota, Viridiplantae, Streptophyta, Magnoliopsida, Nymphaeales, Nymphaeaceae. The record is from RefSeq and is a predicted model, not a curated record.
UUUUUAUUUCCCGCCAGCAACAUUGGUCGCAGGAUGAAGAGAGCCAGACGCUCGAAUAGUCCUCUCUGCUUUCCGUCCCUUUCCAGCGGCGACAGUCUCUGUCCCUUCCUCAGUAACAUCCUCUCAUCUCUCAUCUCCUUCUCCCUCCCUUCCCUACCGGCGAUGGCAUUCUCUUUGUCGCUUCAUCUCCAUUUUUUUCCCCAAAACUUGAUCAGAGAAGGAACCGAAGACAUUCCUUUCGUUGGAUGCGUUCAGAGAAGGAAAAACCAAUCGAUCGGGCUCUCUCCUUUGAUCGAUUUACGGCGACAUCCUGUUUCUCCGUCGGCUUUCUGUUUCGCAGGCGACAUCCAACUCAAAGGCCGCAUCCUUCUCCGGCAGUGUCUCGUUUCUCUGGCAUCAACCGCUUCUGCGAGUGUGGCUCUACCGUCCACCUCUCUCUCUCUCUCUCUCUCUGAUUCUCUCACUUACAUAGUCGGUCGUUCUAAUUAUGUCUAAACCCGCGUUUGAUGGGGGCCUUUUUGACUUCUCUGGUGUCCUGUAGCUGUUUCGCCUCUGGUGAUCAACCUUGAGCCUCUUUCAAGUACCUUCCUUCGAGCCUCUCUCUCUCUCUCUCUCUCUCUCUCUCUCUCUCUCUCUCUCUCUAGUACAAAUUUCAAGUUCUGUGGCAGGGUUCCCUUGUGUUAGCUGACUACUGGCUUGCGUUUGAGACAUCAAAUACCAGCUCAGGCUCAUUUAAAGCAUUUUGAGUUCUGCAUACUUUACUAUUGCAGUAGCUUCAUGUGUAUUUUUGGUGCUCAGGAUCUUUUGCAUGACAUUUCUGGGACUCAAAACAUCUCAGGUCUUCUUCAAACAGACUCUAACAGCAUACUUCAUGCUGCAAUGUCACUUUUUGAUGCAAUACCUUCUGGAAGGAUUCUUAGCAGGUUCUGAGCAUCAUUAUUGUCACGUGCCAAGUUGCUUGGCCGACCAUUUUUAAUUGGCUGACCAUCUUACGCCACUUGCUUGGAUGAAUUUCUGCUACAGGGUAAGCAAGCUACCAUGACAUAUUCUUUUUCGUCUAGCUGCAAAAAGUUGCACCUCUCCUUCUCAAUUUUACAAACUUGUGGUAGACCAAUAUGUAAUGGCAUUUACAUGUUAUGCAUAAACAAAUUUAAGUUUGUUUAUUUAGGGCCCGUUUGAUGGGCCGGAAUUAUACUGUAUGGAAAGAAACAAAAUUCAAAUUUUUAAAAAAAUUCCGAUUUAACAAAAGCGAUAUUAUUUUUUUUACCAUUUCCGUGGAAAUCGGAAUUUUGUUUCCGGAAAAAUGUUUCCACCGCGAGAGGUGGAAACAUAUUUCCAGAAUUAUUUUGUUGCCCGUUAGGGCUCUUCGCUUUGGGCUCCCCUCAUCUUUGUCCUCUCGCCUCCCACCCACGCAGCGCCUCCCUCCUGCCGCAGGCCCGCAGCUACCUCCGUCGCCUCUCUUGCCCUCUGCGUCGUCUCUCUUGGCCUCUGCGUUUCCUUCUCCCCUCGUUGUCUCUCUCGCCCUCUACGUCUCCUUCUCCCCUCGUCGUCUCUCUCGCCCUUUGUGUCUCCUUCUCCCCUCGUUGUCUAUAUCGCCCCUUGCUACCCUUCUCGUCUCUCUCGCCGGAACGACCGCAUCUUGCUCGCCGCCAUAGAUCAGAUCUGUGCAUCUCCGCCUCUCCACCAUAGGGAAGAGAAAGGAAAGGAUCGCAAAACGAAGUUUCUGAAUUCGGCAAAAGUGAAACAGCACUGAGUAUGGUCGUUGGAUUCCUGCUUGUGAUGAGUACGAAUGGAGCUAGUGCUUUCCUGUAUCCGGUGGUUGAUGACGAGAAUGACGGAGUGACUCAGAUCUGAAGUAUUAUUUGCUGAAGAGUACUUAUGGAAUAUUGUUUAGAGUUGUUUGGGCCAUUUUGUCAUGAUUUGGACCUUCAUCUGAAAAUUGAAUAUAUUAUGCGCUGUACAGAAUACAUUUGUAACAGGGAUAUAUUUGUAUGUAUAUGGAGGUAGGCUUUUGCCGGCAUUCAUUAAAUUUGGACCUAUAUCUGAAAAUCGAAUAUAUUGUGCGCUGUACAGAAUACAUUUGUAACAGGGAUAUAUUAGUAUGUAUUGG